GACGAACGCUGGCGGCGUGCCUAAUACAUGCAAGUUGAGCGCUGAAGGAUGGUACUUGUGCCCACUGGAUGAGCAGCGAACGGGUGAGUAACGCGUGGGGCAUCUGCCUUUGAGCGGGGGACAACAUCUGGAAACGAAUGCUAAUACCGCAUAAAAACUUUAAACACAAGUUUUAAGUUUGAAAGAUGCAAUUGCCUCACUCAAAGAUGAUCCCGCGUUGUAUUAGCUAGUUGGUGAGGUAAAGGCCCACCAAGGCGAGGAUACAUAGCCGGCCUGAGAGGGUGAUCGGCCCCAUUGGGACUGGGACAAGGCCCAAGCCCCUACGGGGGGGAGCAGUAGGGGAACUUCGGCAAUGGAGGGAAGUCUGACCGAGCAACGCCGCGUGAGUGGAGAAGGUUUUCGGAGCGUAAAACUCUGUUUGUAGGGAAGAACGUUGGUGAGAGUGGAAAGCUCAUCAAGUGACGGUAACUACCCAGAAAGGGACGGCUAACUACGUG
Molecule: ribosomal RNA, 497 nt
Filed under: uncultured bacterium
Lineage: Bacteria
Description: partial 16S ribosomal RNA
Rfam family: Bacterial small subunit ribosomal RNA
Source: RNAcentral